GAUUAUUUUUUAAUGUAUGCGACGAAAAAGAAUGUCUACUCAAUGCAUUCUUCUUGUGUUUUGCUUGUGUCUGUCAUAGUUCAACACAGUCUCAAUACCAUUUAUUAGUAUGUUGAUAAGAACACGUAACAUAAAAUAGUGCGCACGAAACGUUAAUUGCGUAGAAGGUUCGCAUUCAAACAAGAAGUGUGUGCAAUAAUAAAGGACUAACCAAGGGACUAGGCAGAAUUUUCAGCAUGACUGAACACUACAUGACAUGGAAAAGUGAAUUUGAUCACUGGAUUGUUUUGUGGACAAGUGCCGCAGAUCACUUAAGGGAACUUGAGGACGAGACAGAAACUCAUCACGUUUUAAAUGUUCUCGUUGACAUGGCUGUGAGAGCUCGUACCACACAAGACUGGGUAGAAUGCUGGGAAUAUUUUAAAAACAAAAUCCAUCGCUUCUGCGUGAGUUACGAUCAGGCAAAUGCCGGGUAUUUGGAGAAAAUCAUUAACUGCAUUGACGGAUUUACCCCAAUGCCACAACAUCUGACGGAGUUACUCAAACACAGAGUUGAAUUCUGGCGUCCGAUUCUCCUAAGUACUGCAGUGUCGGAUCUAGAAGGGGUCAUCCAGGCAAGGAUUGGACAGAUCUUUUUCAUUCGUCGAUAUUUUAGAGGUCAACUUGGCCGUCGCAGAGAAGCAAGAUGUACAUCAUGCCCUCCCCGGAAUAAUAACCACACUUAUUAGAAAACCACUGUUGCACGGAAUAAUAAUGUUCAGUGCAUACGCAUAUUCAUUCAAAACUAUUAUUGGGCUACACAAGGAUUUAUGACAUGCAUAUUAUAUGUUCGUUAUGCACGUAUAUGGAUGCUUGUUUACACAGUCUUAAGGCUUAAAUAGGUAUAAACUGCUUAAUGUGUUGGAACAUUCGCAGUUUACAUUGUUUUUAGUUAAGGAUUUAUAUUGUAUUGAUGUUAUUAUCCGUGCAACAGUAGUUUCCUUAUACGUGUUCAAAUAGAUCACUCGAUGUUUGUAACACUAUUGAUUGCAUAGUGUGCUUGUGAAACAAUAUCUACUUUCAUGCUUUAAAAUGAGUUGUGUCAUUGCAUAUAUAUCUUUGGAAAAACUUUUUAUAAGUAUUUGAAUAUAAAUACUGUAAUCAUAGUACAUGUACGUAAUUAAAAUUGUUAAUGAACUGUUAACGGUAUAUGUUUUCAUAUGUAAAUGUGUAGAUGCAUUCAACUCAAGAUUAAUGACAUUUUAAAAAUAUCCAAACAAUUAAAUGUUCAAUUGUUUCUUUGUUUAAGCUUAUUUUCUUAAUCGCUAAAUCAUUGUAAAAUGUAGUCUAAAAUUGAAACUUGAAGCACAUCUCUCUGACCAUGUAUGUGACGUUUGGAGAAGUUGCACAACUGAUUAAACUGCAAAGCAUCUUCAUCCUCCAUACGAGUGUGAUUGACCAAAGGCAUUCAAAUGCCACACGACACGUUUACUUAUUGCGUGUUUGAAUACAUAUGGGUCUAUUAUAAUAACUUCCAGCAUCUGGAUUUCUUAUCAUGGUAGUUAAGUGUUUUGUGUCUUCAAAAUAUGUGUUAUUUUGCAUAAUAAUUAUCUUGAUGAUUAAAAGUUAAGAUUCUGCCUCAAUAUUUGUUUUUGUUUGGCGAUUUAUGUGUCAACAAAAGUAUUUGUUAACUAUAAUAGCAGAUAACACUUUAAUGCUCUAUUUGUUUGGACACAUAUGCGUCAGUUGACUACGUGACUGCGUCUUCAAGCAUGGCAUAUGGUUCAGAAUAUAUUUCAUGUAUACAAUGUUUAAUGUUUCACAAUAUGUACGUUAAAGUUAAUUUCGAGCGUUUGUAUCCUUAAACAGUUAUCCCUAUUGCAAAGGAAAUAAGUUUAUCUUAAGUGUUAACAUAUUAUAGGAAGAAAACAAACAUUAAACAAUGACUUUGUACGACGUUUUCUUAUGACAAGUACGAUCAGCAUUAACUUAACGUGAUAUUAUGGGUAUUUUUCACUGUUAAAUUGAGCUGAAAAGAAUUAACAGGUUAAAAUAGUUAGUUAAAUUGUGGCAACUGACCGAUUAUCUACAACUCAUCUUGCUACCAGUUGUUUAUAAAAACAAUAUAUUAUAUUUGAUAUUUUACAUGACUCACCCAGUUUUCUAAAUGAUCCGUAAAACAAAAUUGUGCCUUUGUGUCCUAUGAACGAAUCUGCAUGAAAACUACAUUUAGACUCACGUCGUACAUCGAAUCAUUUCUGUCGUCAGUUGUCAAAACGAAAGUACGGUUGAUAUUCAAAUGCAUUAUUUUUCUAUUUCCGGGAUAUGGUUUUAGAAUUUGGAUGCUGCAUUAACAACUAUAAGUGUAUAUGAAGUGAAAACACCAAAAAUAAACAAGGGUUGCGAUAGACACCUAUAAACAUAGCAUAUACUGUUAGAUGCCCAUAAUAUCACUGUAACGAUGUUAUAAUGCAUUCUCCAUCCAUCCAAUGCAAUUUGAACUUUGUGAAAUGUGAAUGUCAGUGAUUUAUAAACAUGUUUUCCCGUGUGACGGUAGUUAGUAUAUUAUUUGCACUAUAUUUAUUUUCCACACUUUAUCUCAAAAUGCGAUGCUACCAUGUACAGAAAUAAAAAUGCAACGUAAA
Molecule: long non-coding RNA, 2624 nt
Organism: Dreissena polymorpha
Lineage: Eukaryota; Metazoa; Mollusca; Bivalvia; Myida; Dreissenidae
Exons: 4
Source: RefSeq, a predicted model, not a curated record